AGGACCGGCCCGACACCUGC
This 20-nucleotide unclassified non-coding RNA is filed under the name Chlamydomonas reinhardtii. Its description in RNAcentral is "small RNA Cre_0511". The record is from RNAcentral. Lineage: Eukaryota; Viridiplantae; Chlorophyta; Chlorophyceae; Chlamydomonadales; Chlamydomonadaceae.